AUGGGAGGAACAAAAGAAAGAGGAUUCUCCGUUUUGGCAGAAACCUACAGUCACUUGAGCUGUAACUGGGAUAUCCCGGGGAAGAGGUCAGGUCCUGGCGGAUGUAUCAGCGCCCACGCAGGAAAACACCAAAAUGUGUUUGCUAAAUCAGGGGAGGAAGCCCCUCCCUCCGAGGACAGGUAAGACCUGGAAGGGGCGUGUCCAAGGAUCACCUGCCGCCACCCAGUUUACAGUUCCACAACCUGAUCACCUCAUAAAGCUGCCCAAACCAAGCACUUAGAAAGCUCCUUUGGCUCUUGGACGGAGCAUUGGUGGAAAGGAGUGUAGCUGAAACUAACCAAAGGAGGCUUUAUGCUUCCAGAAAAAUCUUAAGGAAAAGUGUUGAAAGCAACAGUCGGGCUGUGAGAUCAAGCUCUAAAGGAAAGGAGAGAGUAAUCCCUAGGACUCAGGAGGCUGAGGCAGGAGGAUCGAAAGUUCCAGACCAGCCUCUUUUUCCUGAGGGAGACCCCGCCUCAGAAUAACAACAUUUUAUUUUUUUUCUUUUAACAGUUGGAGAUAUGAUAGAGCACUUGCCAGGCAUGCGCACCCUGCUUCAAAACCAGCAUGAGGGCGUUGGGGGCAGGGGUUGAAGAGGUUCAACUAUGAAGGUGUAAAGCCUUCGCCCACAAAACAGAGGUGCCAAAGGCAGUGCUAAAAGACAAGGAUGACUUCGCAUUUAGAGAUGGUGACACUCUUGGGACAUACAUAGACUAAAAUAAAUGACUGCUGAAGCUGCCA
This 777-nucleotide long non-coding RNA is filed under the name Marmota marmota marmota (Alpine marmot). Its description in RNAcentral is "lncRNA (ENSMMMG00000008242.1)". The record is from RNAcentral. Lineage: Eukaryota; Metazoa; Chordata; Mammalia; Rodentia; Sciuridae.